Homo sapiens (human) is the source of this 2783-nucleotide long non-coding RNA. Ensembl annotates it as MKLN1 antisense RNA. Its record names the gene MKLN1-AS. The record is from Ensembl. NCBI's taxonomy places the organism in Eukaryota, Metazoa, Chordata, Mammalia, Primates, Hominidae.
GCCCCCCAAGCCCUCCUCAACCUCAACCCCCAAAUCCCAAGCGCAGAACCGCUGGGCUUCCGGUUCUCCUGUGCGCGCCCCGGAUCCGCCACACACCUCGCCCCUUCUCCCUGGGCUCGCUCUCCGGACCCUAACCCCUUCCCGAGCGAGGCCGAGCAACGCUCUCAGCAGCUGAACUAAGACUCCGGAGGCCGCACGUCCCCCUCAGCAGGCCCCGCCUGGGCCUCUCGGCUCGGCUGCCCUCCAUUGCACCCCUGGCCCAACCGUGCUGACGCGGAAGGGUGGGGCAGCACGAGCUCAAGGCCCGGCACUUACUCGGGAAGGUAGGUGGAGGAAAAGGAGCUCCACUUGUGUAGCGCGUAGGGGAGAAGCCGGCACUCGGGCGCCGCAGCGACAGCUCCGCCAGCCGCCAUCUUGUCAGCACCGUAGCGGCCGCCACCGACCGCUGGCAGCGAACGGGAGGAGGGGAGGGGGCGUGGCCUGCUCUUAAAGGGGCCGCCGCCCUCCCCGGCCGCCCGCGCUCCCCGCCCCGCAUCGUUACCCGAGCCCAGCGCCGGGCCAAUGUCCUAUCUCAGGGUUUCCCACGUCGCUCGCUCCUUGACGGCUGACCGACACUGGGUCUGAGGUGUAAGCGCUUUCCAGGCCCUUCCCUGGGGCUUGGAGGGGAAUGGCGCAAAGGACUUUUCUUACAAGCAGAGGUAAGGAAAAGCCGAGAUGAUUACGAACAGAAACACGUUGUAGUUAUGGAGCAGGAAGGGAAAAUAAGAAGACCAAGUUGGAAAAGGGACGCCUGUGCGCUUUUGGAAGCCACCGCCCUCGCCAGUUUAUAAGUCCUUUACGGAAACAACACUGAAGGGAGCUGGAGGGCAGUAGCUAAUGUGCUGUCCUCCUGGAGUGGUCCUGGUUUUAAAUGUCUUGUCCCCGCCUUCCAGAGUCAGAUGGAGACAGGAAAAGGAAAUGGUCCCGUGUCCUCCUACCCUGUUUGGUUUGCAGUCUGUGAUGCCCUUCAUUGUAAACAUUUCUUGUGAGCCGCAUCCUACUAAUCUUGUGGCAUUGGUUUGCUCGGGAAUGACGUUCACCCACAGACCUGAAAAGUCCUUACAGAGUUGGGAAGCUGCGUGUCAUCAUUUUUUCAGUUGGCAAAUCUGCCCACUUUGAACUGACAUAAUUGUAGCCUAAAAGUUCAGAGAGAGAGUAGUUCAGGAAAAAGACUAUUCCUUCUUCUUAGAGGGAACAGCAGCCCUGAAAACUAUGUGGACAUCAUACCAGCUUCUUACAACAAAAGGUGCACUUGGUCUAAAUUAUCUGGCAGCUCUAGAUAACGUUCUCAUCAAGUACCUGUUUGUUGUAGUUAUGCAUAUUUAUUCCUUGGCUUAGCCACUGCAGUUACCAAAGAGUAUGUCGCUUAUUGUCUAAGAGGUUGGACUCCUGAAAGCCUGGACAGUGUCAUCAUCUUCACCUGAAGAGUGGAAAAAUUCAAGCAAAGAGUUUCUCAGGAAAUGACCAAGUAAAACAUCUGGAGUAAGUCAGCAGGAUUCACAGUGACUCCCCCCAACCAGCUGGUGGUGUUUCUCUCUGAAAGCAGCGCUUGGUACCAGUGUGAACUCUCUUCCUUCAGAAGUCUCAUCAGGUGGACGUAAUACGAGGGUCUGGUCCCCCAUACCUUGAGGACUCCGCUGCCAUCUGACAAUUACAGACAAUCCAAUUGUCCUCAUCCUUGAGGACUCUGCUGCCAUCUGACAAUUAGAGACAGUCCAAAACAUGCCACACUUUGAUCCUAAACACAUUCCUGGCUUUGGUCACUUUUGAAAAGUUCCUGAGUUAUGAGAAAUCAAUAAUAAGAGUGUUCAAAACCUGAACACUCUUUUUAGAAAUACCUGCUGGAACUACAUAUAUGAUUUAUGGGGUACUGUCUUGUAGUAUCUGGGAAAGUAGACCCAUCUAACCUGGAAUGAUCAUAGGCAACAAUGACCAAAAAUGGGGAUCUUUUGAUAUACCUAAAGUAAUUUAUUUGUGCACACCAUUGGAAAGAGCUGGUUUUAGAACCAGACAUGUAAAUAAGAGACUGACUUCCACUGGCACCUAAAAACUUCUAAAAGAAAUCCUGAAAGAAAAAGUCACCUUCAUUCAAGAGGUAAACAAAGGGAUAUUUGAAACUAUGUUAAAAGACUUCAGAGGCUUUCUCCCUUUCACCUCCAGACCCUCCUUUUCCUUCCAGCCCUGUGAUCUGAACUCAUCCCUUUCUGCCGCUUCUCUUGGCUUCCAUACAUCUCUUAGGCAGAGAUGUUUUAAAAUUUCACAAUGUACACAUUUCCUUCUCUCAGGGGAAAUGAAUUUAAAUUUAGAGCAGAAGGAACAAGCAGAACAACAACAGAAUGGGAAUAAGACUGCUGAGACUAUAAAAAUGCAGAUCCAACAAAAUUUUUUCUCACCAGGUCUAGUGAAUGACACUGUGAUAUGGUCUGGCUCUGUGUUCCCAACAAAAUGUCAUCUCGAAUUGUAAUCCCCACGUGUCGGGGGAGAAGCCUGGUGGGAGAUGAUUGGAUCAUGGAGGCAGUUUCCCCCAUGCUGUUUUCAUGAUAGGGAGGGAGUUCUUACGAGAUGUGAUGGUUUAAAAGUGUUUGGCAGUGGCCGGGCGCGGUGGCUCACGCCUGUAAUCCCAGCACUUUGGGAGGCCGAGGCGGGUGGAUCAUGAGGUCAGGAGAUCGAGACCAUCCUGGCUAACAAGGUGAAACCCCGUCUCUACUAAAAAUACAAAAAAUUAGCCGGGCGCGGUGGCGGGC